UUUAUGGAGAGUUUGAUCCUGGCUCAGGAUGAACGCUGGCGGCGUGCCUAAUACAUGCAAGUCGAGCGAACAGAUGAGGAGCUUGCUCCUCUGACGUUAGCGGCGGACGGGUGAGUAACACGUGGGUAACCUACCUAUAAGACUGGAAUAACUCCGGGAAACCGGGGCUAAUGCCGGAUAAUAUGCGGAACCGCAUGGUUCUGCAAUGAAAGACGGUCUUGCUGUCACUUAUAGAUGGACCCGCGCCGUAUUAGCUAGUUGGUAAGGUAACGGCUUACCAAGGCAACGAUACGUAGCCGACCUGAGAGGGUGAUCGGCCACACUGGAACUGAGACACGGUCCAGACUCCUACGGGAGGCAGCAGUAGGGAAUCUUCCGCAAUGGGCGAAAGCCUGACGGAGCAACGCCGCGUGAGUGAUGAAGGUCUUCGGAUCGUAAAACUCUGUUAUUAGGGAAGAACAAGUGCGUAGGUAACUAUGCGCAACUUGCCGGUACCUA
This 498-nucleotide ribosomal RNA is filed under the name Staphylococcus condimenti. RNAcentral's name for it is "bacterial SSU rRNA". It matches the Rfam family "Bacterial small subunit ribosomal RNA", at positions 1 to 481 of the family's 1533-position model. The record is from RNAcentral. Lineage: Bacteria; Bacillati; Bacillota; Bacilli; Caryophanales; Staphylococcaceae.